AUUGAACGCUGGCGGCAGGCCUAACACAUGCAAGUCGGACGGUAGCACAGAGGAGCUUGCUCCUCGGGUGACGAGUGGCGGACGGGUGAGUAAUGUCUGGGGAUCUGCCCGAUAGAGGGGGAUAACCACUGGAAACGGUGGCUAAUACCGCAUAACGUCGCAAGACCAAAGAGGGGGACCUUCGGGCCUCUCACUAUCGGAUGAACCCAGAUGGGAUUAGCUAGUAGGCGGGGUAACGGCCCACCUAGGCGACGAUCCCUAGCUGGUCUGAGAGGAUGACCAGCCACACUGGAACUGAGACACGGUCCAGACUCCUGCGGGAAGGCAGCAGUGGGGAAUAUUGCACAAUGGGCGCAAGCCUGAUGCAGCCAUGCCGCGUGUAUGAAGAAGGCCUUCGGGUUGUAAAGUACUUUCAGCGGGGAGGAAGGCGAUAAGGUUAAUAACCUUGUCGAUUGACGUUACCCGCAGAAGAAGCACCGGCUAACUCCGUGCCAGCAGCCGCGGUAA
RNAcentral lists this ribosomal RNA (507 nucleotides) under uncultured bacterium. RNAcentral's name for it is "partial 16S ribosomal RNA". It matches the Rfam family "Bacterial small subunit ribosomal RNA", at positions 29 to 523 of the family's 1533-position model. The record is from RNAcentral.